Drosophila montana is the source of this 449-nucleotide long non-coding RNA. RefSeq lists it as uncharacterized. The transcript has 2 exons. Lineage: Eukaryota; Metazoa; Arthropoda; Insecta; Diptera; Drosophilidae. The record is from RefSeq and is a predicted model, not a curated record.
UGUCACAAAAUUCUGAUAUAAAAUGAACAAAAUAAAAAAUAAAUUUACUCUUUUUUCAAAUAUCAUUCAUUCAUACUUUGAUUCCUUUACUCUUCAUAAAGUGCUUUAGGAUAAAGGAAUAACAUAGUGCGGAAGCAAGAAGAGAUAGAGAGGAGAGAGAAAGUGCUGGGUAAUCCCCUCAAACGUGGGCAUAACAAGUGAAAAAAGAUUGGCACCACUUAAAAGAAAUUGCCAAUGAUAAUGAUAAAAUAAACAACAACAACGACAACAACAGCAACAGCAAACGAAUGCCAGACAGCAGGAACCGCAAUGAAGGAGGCCGACCGAAUGGGAGUCAAGAAAAACUUUUAUCCUGUUUCCAUUUUCCUUGCUGCUGUUGCCGCCUCCUUCUGCCCCAGCAGCAGCAGCAAUAGCAGCAGAAACUGAAAUAAACAAAAUGCCUACGAAAA